This 789-nucleotide ribosomal RNA is filed under the name uncultured Bacillota bacterium. Its description in RNAcentral is "bacterial SSU rRNA". It matches the Rfam family "Bacterial small subunit ribosomal RNA", at positions 70 to 837 of the family's 1533-position model. Lineage: Bacteria; Bacillati; Bacillota. The record is from RNAcentral.
AAAGCCCCCUUCGGGGGGCAAGUAGAGUGGCGCACGGGUGAGUAACACGUAGGUAAUCUACCUUUGGAUGGGGAAUAACAACCGGAAACGGUUGCUAAUACCGCAUAAUGCAGCGGCACCUAAUGGUGACAGUUGUUAAAGCGGGGGAUCGCAAGACCUCGCGUCUGAAGAGGAGCCUGCGGCAGAUUAGCUAGUUGGUAGGGUAACGGCUUACCAAGGCGAUGAUCUGUAGCCGGCCUGAGAGGGCGGUCGGCCACACUGACACUGACAUACGGGUCAGACUCCUACGGGAGGUAGCAGUCGGGAAUUUUGGGCAAUGGGCGAAAGCCUGACCCAGCAACGCCGCGUGAAGGAUGAAAUCCCUCGGGAUGUAAACUUCGCAAGAACGGGAAGAAUAAGCCGGUGUCAACACCACCGGCGAUGACGGUACCGUUUGUAAGCUCCGGCUAACUCCGUGCCAGCAGCCGCGGUAAUACGGGGGGAGCAAGCGUUGUUCGGAUUUACUGGGCGUAAAGGGCGCGUAGGCGGCCACCGCAAGUCGACUGUGAAAUCUCCGGGCUUAACCCGGAACGGUCAGCCGAUACUGCGGGGCUAGAGUGCAGAAGGGGCAACUGGAAUUCUCGGUGUAGCGGUGAAAUGCGUAGAUAUCGAGAGGAACACCUGCGGCGAAGGCGGGUUGCUGGGCUGACACUGACGCUGAGGCGCGAAAGCUAGGGGAGCGAACGGGAUUAGAUACCCCGGUAGUCCUAGCCUUAAACGAUGAAUGCUUGGUGUCUGGGGUUUUAUAGU